UUUUACACUCUGGAAUCUGAAAUCAUUUCUUGGAUUUUAGGACAUUUUCAUGAUUAUAGGAUGUUUCUAGGAUUAUAGGAUGUGUGUAGGAUUUUGGGACAUUUCUGGGAUUUUGGGACAUUUCUGUGUGAUUUUAGUAAAAUGUGUCCAGGAGCAGUGUCUCAGUGUCUUUCUGUGAACAAUCAUCAAUAAAGAUCCAUUAAAAAUAAUAAAUACUGUGAUAUUGUGUGUGAUGACCUCACUGUUGACUGCAGGAGCUCUUCUUUGUUGGUGUCAGUGUCGGUCUCACCUGUCCCCUCCUGUCUGUUGUGUCUCCGCAGUGACGCUCACGUGUCGGCGCUGCUGUCUCUGAAGAGCGGCCUGUCGGCGGCUGACAUUCGCUCCAUCAGACGCAGCGUGGAGGAGAACCGCCUCCUGGAUGUCUCCACCAAUCAGAGCCCGCCAUUCUUCUCCAAGAUUCUUGAACUCACAUCAGAAACUCAGUAACACUUUACAGCUGUGAGCCCGAGCUGCCGCUGCUGCUGAACGCUGUCCUCCAGGUUCUCGAGGUUCUCCAGGUCCUCCUGGAAGACACCUCGGGGUAACAGAUCAGUAACAGAUGGAUCGGUACGUCUGAUUUGUUCUUUUUAUUUGUUAAAAUCCCCAUCAGCUGUGUCCUAAAGCACAGCUAACCUCCACCAAGCUCCACAAUGAAAACAUAUGACUGUCAGUACAAAAAACAAGACAGAGAAUUAACGAUAUAUGUGAUAAAUGUAUUUGCAUGUAUGAAUUUAUGUGUAUGUAAAUUAACAAAGUUUGCAGCGAAAACUACAAAUCUUCAUCAUAAUAUUGUAUGUUAAUCAAAAAAUCUUUAAAAAGUCAAAGUACAGUCAAAAAAACAUUAAACCUCUCAGCAGAGAAAAAGCAGUAAGUGCACAUUUAUGAAUUUAUGUGUGUGAACAGAAACCCUCAAUAAAGUUUGCAGCAAAAAACUA
Plectropomus leopardus (leopard coralgrouper) is the source of this 974-nucleotide non-coding RNA. The record is from RefSeq and is a predicted model, not a curated record. NCBI's taxonomy places the organism in Eukaryota, Metazoa, Chordata, Actinopteri, Perciformes, Serranidae.